Long non-coding RNA from Passer domesticus (house sparrow), 2030 nucleotides. RefSeq lists it as uncharacterized. Lineage: Eukaryota; Metazoa; Chordata; Aves; Passeriformes; Passeridae. The transcript is spliced from 2 exons. The record is from RefSeq and is a predicted model, not a curated record.
AGGAUGUGGGCAAAAAGGACCCUUUUGCUGUGUGGGUCCAGAUCACACAGUGUUGAACUUUGCUUAUGGAACUUGUUGGCUACAUUUGCAGAGUGCUUGUUCUGCCAUAAUUUUUUCUUUCCAUAGUGAUGGCAGGAAAACGCCCCAAACAGAUGCUAAUGUCUCAUGAAAAUUACUAAAACCAUAAGGGCUAUACUAGUACCUGUAAAGAUUAGUCAAGCAUAACCCCAAAUACACACCACAAAAACAUUGAAAGACAAUCCCAAAGAACUCAGAGCUGAAGUUAGCCAAGCCAUUGUAAUACAUCUGUGAGCACCGAGGAAUUCCUGUCAACAUGGGAACCUGGGAAGUUCCUUUCAAUUUUUUUUCCCCUUACUAUUCCAGUAUUUACAACAAACAGUUUGUCUCUUUUUGAGGUUCUAAUAUAAUACUGCAUUUAAACUUUUAGAUUACUUUCCAAUUAAAUUAUGCUUUUGCAUUUUUCCUAUCAACAAUGUCAGCAAUUUCUCAUUAGAUCUGUGCACAUUCAUGAGCAAUAUGCUGCAGUAUCCCCAUCUAGGUAGGACAUAGGAGGUAGGUGUGGGGGGGAUAGAAUAUAAGAAAAUAAAGAUAGUGCAGAAAGUAAUCUCACCCCUAAGGAGUUACAGCUGGGCCAAUUACCAAAGAUUAGGAACAGGCCUGACUUUAGCAGGCCACAGCUGUGACCAAUGAGGAGAAGAAGAGUGCUAUAAAAGAGUGGGUUGGCUCGGUGAGAAAGAAUUGGCGUCAGUUGGCUUCUUGUUGAGGAAGAAAGAGUCAGUGCUCUGAAGAGCUGCCUGUGAGAAAACACCAAUAAGCAGUGCUCAUACUAUAUGGGAGAGGAAAUCCUUCCUCUUGUAGAUGUCAAGGCAAAUGGAAGACUCAAAACCAAAUCAUGUUUUCUCACACAAAAUGUGAAACUGUGACUCCCUCGGGAAGAAGCUACGGAUGAUGAAGUUCUACAUGGUUUCAAAAUAAGUAACUGCACAAAUUCAUGGAAGAAAAUCAAGGCGGUUUAAUACAGAGACUCCAAUUCUGCUUCAGAUAAUUUUAAAAUUCAAAAAAAUUGUAGGCUGGGAAUGUACUCUGGGGAAAUAUCCCUAGAUGAUUGUUCUGAUUUUAUUGUCCAUCUGAAGGUUGUCUGAGGGUUGCUAGUGCUCUGAAGGCUGUCAAAAUUUCAAUUGGAUUAAACUAGAACUUAAUACAAGAUGAAAAUGUAAUCCAUAAACACUUGGAACCAACUGCAUUUUCAGUGCACACUUCAUAUCUUGCUGCACAUUAAUUCUGCAGAACCUAAAUAGGGGCUCAUACUCAUCUUACACACUCUCUCUCCAUUAUUCUCCAGAAGAUGAACAAGGAUCUCAGAAAGAAAUUGCAAUUUAAUGUGCAGCUUUACAUAACAGUAAGUAUUUUAAAAGGAAAGUAAGGUCUCCAACAAAUAGAAACUCCACCUCACCUUUCAGCAAUCCCCUUAACCACUUUCUGGGACUAAGCUUCAAACCAUCAGAUCCCACCAGUAUUUCCAGAAUGAAAAUAAGGCAGUAAAUUCUCACAUAAACUUAGUUGCAUGUGUAGGGUAAGUCAGUUCACAACAGUUGUAGUUAGAGUACUAUGAAUGGAAACCUGGAAGCACAGCUGAACUCAAAGUGCAACAUUUAGGAUUUGAAUUUGAAAGAUUUGGUGUUUUUAGGUUGAAAUAUACUCACUUCUCAUAAUCCGCUGUCUGCACCAUUCUUAUGUACUGACAGGAAUAGGCAUACUUGGUUUGGCUGAUUUUAAUGAGCUCGCUUCUUAUACAGUGUUCCUGCAAGAACACAAUCAAUAUUCAUCUAAUUUAAACCCAAAUCUCAAAAGCAAUGAAGAUACAUAUGCAUAAAAAAUCAACUGUUUAAAUGUAAAUGUAAUCAGCCUCUAAUAAAGAUAAUUAAUAUAAAAUUAAUAUAAAAGUUUCAUGUACAAAGUAAAUUUUAUUUAAUGCAUGCUGUGAAAAAUGCAGUGAAAUUAUCAUAAUG